GGGAACCACCCCCACGCCAAAAACAGUACCCCAGGACUGAACCUAUCCUUGCAACAAAGCCCGAUGCCAACUCUGUCCACAUAUUUAUCCAAGUGACACCAUCAUGGGACCUAAACACA
Long non-coding RNA from Chelonia mydas (Green sea turtle), 119 nucleotides. RefSeq lists it as uncharacterized. The transcript is spliced from 2 exons. NCBI's taxonomy places the organism in Eukaryota, Metazoa, Chordata, Testudines, Cheloniidae. The record is from RefSeq and is a predicted model, not a curated record.